This 468-nucleotide ribosomal RNA is filed under the name uncultured bacterium. RNAcentral's name for it is "partial 16S ribosomal RNA". It matches the Rfam family "Bacterial small subunit ribosomal RNA", at positions 28 to 507 of the family's 1533-position model. The record is from RNAcentral.
GACGAACGCUGGCGGCGUGCUUAACACAUGCAAGUCGAACGGAAAGGCCCUGCUUUUGUGGGGUGCUCGAGUGGCGAACGGGUGAGUAACACGUGAGUAACCUGCCCUUGACUUUGGGAUAACUUCAGGAAACUGGGGCUAAUACCGGAUAGGAGCUCCUGCUGCAUGGUGGGGGUUGGAAAGUUUCGGCGGUUGGGGAUGGACUCGCGGCUUAUCAGCUUGUUGGUGGGGUAGUGGCGUACCAAGGCUUUGACGGGUAGCCGGCCUGAGAGGGUGACCGGCCACAUUGGGACUGAGAUACGGCCCAGACUCCUACGGGAGGCAACAGUGGAGAAUAGUGCACAAUGGGCGGAAGCCUGAUGCAGCAACGCCGCGUGCGGGAUGACGGCCUGCGGGUAGUAAACCGCUUUCGCCUGUGACGAAGCGUGAGUGACGGUAAUGGGUAAAGAAGCACCGGCUAACUACGUG